AACAUGUCUGUGUGAAUUAGUUANAAAGUCUAGCNGGNNCACUGAUUUUUAAAGGGCCGCGGUAAUUUGACCGUGCGAAGGUAGCAUAGUCAGUAGUCUUUUAAUUGAAGGCUUGAAUGAAUGGUUGGACGAGGGACGAGCCGUCUCCUCUACAAGGUUUGAAUUUAACUUUUGAGNGAAAAGGCUCAAAUUAUUUAAUGGGACGAUAAGACCCUAUAAAACUUAAUAUGGGUUUAGUUUAGUUUAUGAUUUGGGUAAAAAGUGAUUUUAUUGGGCUUAUAUUUCGUUGGGGAGAUGUGGAUAUAAUUUGUAACUGUCUAUGAAAUUUAAUAGUUAUAGUUAGAGUGUGAUCCUCCACUGGGGAUUAAUAGAGUAAGUUACUUUAGGGAUAACAGCGUAAUUUUCUU
RNAcentral lists this ribosomal RNA (407 nucleotides) under Macrobrachium sp. SKE. RNAcentral describes it as "partial 16S rRNA". Lineage: Eukaryota; Metazoa; Arthropoda; Malacostraca; Decapoda; Palaemonidae. The record is from RNAcentral.